UAAGGUGUAAAUCACUAUUGCUCUCUGGUGGUAUGAUUCGGAACUGGUAAUUAACCCACAUUACCUUCCCGGACGUUAGGUGGCAGUAAACACUUGCUGUUGGUCACCAAACGUUACUAAUGAAGACAGAAGAAGACAUAUGAGGAAGUUUUGCCGCGUUUCUUUGUUUUGGAUCUUCAUGCUCAGUUUUUUUUUGACGUUUCGAUACUUCAGAAACGUUUUAUUUCGCUUACGAAUAACGAGCUAAAUGCAAUUUUAUGAUUCUGUUUUGAUUGAACGCAUAUGAGCUAAUUUAGUAUACAGCUUCUCUGUCGACUAGCUACUGUAGCUAGUUAACGUUAGUUAGCAACACAGGAGCCUUGACGUCAGUCGCUAAGGCUUGCUCAUAUCAUGGAUGGUGAAAACAAACCCUGCCUGCUGCUCUCCUUUACCGCACCUAAAUCUGAGGGUCCUGAUUGUAACAGAGUGAACAGCAGACUCCAGAGAUGGCAUCAGUGAAGCAGGAAGACUGCAGUCAAACACUGGGGCUGAAUGUCAACAUUAAAGAUGAAGUAAAGGAGGAAGAGAUUGAAACAUUUGUGUAUCAUGGGCCGGCUGGAGAGUUCAAAGAAAACACGGAAGAACACCAAGUCUUACUACUCAAAGGUCUCUCUCAGGGAGAAAUCUCCAGCUCUGGUCCCCCACCAACACCAGAGGGAACUGUGGAGUCAGCUUUACCCUCUGUCACCAUGGAGGAGCUACCCUCCACCUCACCAUCAACACCUUGGCCAGCACCAACAGUGCCACCCCAACCCAUCACCUCCCGUCCUGCACCAGCUCACUCUGGCUCUGCUCCCCAACCCAUCACCUCCCGUCCUGCACCAGCUCACUCAAUCCACUCUCAAUCAAUGAAUCAAAUUUAUUUUAUAAAGCCCUUUUUACAUCAGCAGUUGUCACAAAGUGCUUUACAGAUACCCAGCCUAAAAUCCCAAAUAGCAAGCAAUGCAGAUGCACUCUCUGGCACCGCACCCCAACCCAUCACCUCCUGUCCUGCACCAGCUCAUUCCAUCCACUCUGGCUUUGCUCCCCAACCCAUCACCUCCUGUCCUGCACCAGCUCAUUCCAUCCACUCUGGCUUUGCUCCCCAACCCAUUACCUCCUGUCCUGCACCAGCUCAUUCCAUCCACUCUGGCUUUGCUCCCCAACCCAUCACCUCCUGUCCUGCACCAGCUCAUUCCAUCCACUCUGGCUUUGCUCCCCAACCCAUCACCUCCUGUCCUGCACCAGCUCAUUCCAUCCACUCUGGCUUUGCUCCCCAACCCAUUACCUCCUGUCCUGCACCAGCUCAUUCCAUCCACUCUGGCUUUGCUCCCCAACCCAUUACCUCCUGUCCUGCACCAGCUCAUUCCAUCCACUCUGACUCUACACCCCAACCCAUCACGUCUGGCUGGACACCACAAGGCCCCCAAGCCAUUCUGCUCCAACAAAUCCUGGACACACAAACGCAACAAAUCCAUGCUACACAGACCGCCCAACACAUCCACCAAGCUCUUUAUGAUUUAUUAGAAAAAGCACAUGAAACACAGAAGGCACACCUGGAUGUGGAGAAGAACCGGCUCCAGCUGGAUAGAGAGCGCUUGAGGGUGGAGACAGAGCGCCUGCAGGUGGAGAGGGAGCGCCUCAAGAUGGAGAAGGAUCGCCUGGGGGAAGGGGAGGCGCUUCGGCAGCUCUCUGUCUCUGGGUCAGUCGCCCUAGAACACCAGACGCCUGUGAGUUCAAGAACUGCCAGUGCCUCAGCCACCUUUCCUCUGGGAACACCAUCAGCCUCCAUGUCCAGUCCCCUCACAUUAAUAUCACCUACUGCACCACACUUUGAUUCCCCAUUCCCAUUACCGGUAAUCACAACCCAUUCCACCCAGCCAUCACAAACCAGCCCUGCCCCAACCUCUCCUACCUUAACCAGCCCUGCCCCAACCUCUGCUACCUUAACCAGCCCUGCCCCAACCUCUGCUACCUUAACCAGCCCUGCCCCAACCUCCCCUGCCUUAACCGUUCCUGCCCCAACCUCCCCUACCUUAACCGUUCCUGCCCACUCUCUCAUCCCUCCAAUCUCCAGAUCUGUUAAACGGCGAGUUCAGGAGACAGUCCGGCCUUGGUCUGCACCCACUGCUAAGAAUCAAAAACAUCAAUAA
RNAcentral lists this long non-coding RNA (2171 nucleotides) under Oncorhynchus mykiss (rainbow trout). RNAcentral's name for it is "lncRNA (ENSOMYG00000029855.2)". Lineage: Eukaryota; Metazoa; Chordata; Actinopteri; Salmoniformes; Salmonidae. The record is from RNAcentral.